Cavia porcellus (domestic guinea pig) is the source of this 1085-nucleotide long non-coding RNA. RefSeq lists it as uncharacterized. NCBI's taxonomy places the organism in Eukaryota, Metazoa, Chordata, Mammalia, Rodentia, Caviidae. The transcript is spliced from 4 exons. The record is from RefSeq and is a predicted model, not a curated record.
ACAUGUGCUCUUAUUCUUAAACACAGUCUGAAUGAACUAAAAAUUAAUCAACAGGACACAUUUAACUUUUUUCUUCAUGCACUACCACCUUUCAGAGAUGCAAAGGACUCGGGGGUAACUGGUUUUUUCAGGGGCAGUCUUUUUAAGGAAAGUUCAGAGCAGACAUCCACAUUUUGUGAAACCACCCACUAUUUUAUAGUGAAUGAGCACCUAGAGCAGGGGAGGAUACAGAACUUUCUAGUAUGAAGGCACCUGUGGCUGAACUAAGGUUCAGAUCUAAGUAGAUUUGACAGUUAACUAACUGCCGACUAUGUAAGAAACAGCUGACUAAACUGGCUCAGCAUAGUUCUGGGUGUGGAAGACUCAGCCUAGGGAGGAUUGUCACCAGAAUGGUGUGAAAAGGACAUGAAGAAGGAAGGCUCGCUUCUGUUUCUUCACAGGAGCUCCAGUCUUCACCUUUAUCUUGAAGGUCAUCUCCUGGUUUCCAGCACAGACUCUUCAGCCUCCUCAUAGGGACUCACACGGGACACAACGCUGAGCCCCAGGCCUUCGACGGGAUCCUCCGGAGCUCCACUGUGCAGACAGACCUUUUGUGUUCUUCUACACCUGACUCUGUGGUGGCCACUGAACUCCAUACAUCGAGCCAACAGCACCUUCCAACUGCACCACUGCCAGUGCCUUCCUGUGAGUUCUCUGCUCCUGCCUUUCCCUUCUCAGUCCUUCCUCCAUGCAGCAACAACAGUGAUCACAAUUUAGAUAUGACGUCGUUGCUGGAAUGCUCAGUAGAAGUGACAUUAAUUCUGCACAGAAAACUACGGAGAUGCUCCUAUGGACUCAACUGAAUUUCAACAAUAACUUCGAGUUUUGCGUAUUGGAUAUCAUGAGGUGAACUUUCUUCUCUGCUCCUCAACCAUGCUCUCCUGCCUUGAAAGCCAGAGGACUAUGGACUGAAACCUCUACAAAGUAUAAGCCAAAAUAAACCUCUUCCCUUUAAUUUGCCAGUGUUGGGUAUUGUGUCUUGAUGAUAAGAAAGUAAGUCAGACAACAUAUAUAAAUGUCAAGUCACGCAAGUAGGUAUAAAUAAC